AACGAACGCUGGCGGCAUGCCUAACACAUGCAAGUCGAACGAGACCUUCGGGUCUAGUGGCGCACGGGUGCGUAACGCGUGGGAACCUGCCCUUAGGUUCGGAAUAACUCCCCGAAAGGGGUGCUAAUACCGGAUAAUGUCUUCGGACCAAAGAUUUAUCGCCUUUGGAUGGGCCCGCGUUGGAUUAGCUAGUUGGUAGGGUAAAAGCCUACCAAGGCGACGAUCCAUAGCUGGUCUGAGAGGAUGAUCAGCCACACUGGGACUGAGACACGGCCCAGACGAAGACGGGAGGGAGCAGUGCGGGAUAGGGGAAGAUGGCCGGAAGGAUGAACCGGCUAUGACGCGGGAGUAAUGAAGGGAGUGGGGAGGUAAAGCGCUUCUACCCGCGACGGGAAGGAAGGGGCCGGAAGAAUAAGCUCCGGCUAACUCCGUG
This 433-nucleotide ribosomal RNA is filed under the name uncultured bacterium. Its description in RNAcentral is "partial 16S ribosomal RNA". It matches the Rfam family "Bacterial small subunit ribosomal RNA", at positions 29 to 507 of the family's 1533-position model. The record is from RNAcentral.